AAAACAAUACAAAAAAAA
RNAcentral lists this small RNA (18 nucleotides) under Arabidopsis thaliana (thale cress). RNAcentral's name for it is "ATSL058510". Lineage: Eukaryota; Viridiplantae; Streptophyta; Magnoliopsida; Brassicales; Brassicaceae. The record is from RNAcentral.